CGGGUGAGUAACACGUGGGUGACCUGCCUUCGAGCGGGGGAUAACGUCCCGAAAGGGACGCUAAUACCGCAUGGCAUCCUGCCUUUUAAGAGGUGGAGAUCAAAGCCGGGGAUCGCAAGACCUGGCACUUGAAGAGGGGCCCGCGCCUGAUUAGCUAGUUGGUGGGGUAAUGGCUCACCAAGGCAACGAUCAGUAUCCGGCCUGAGAGGGCGGACGGACACACUGGGAYUGAGACACGGCCCAGACUCCUACGGGAGGCAGCAGUGGGGAAUUGUUCGCAAUGGGCGCAAGCCUGACGACGCAACGCCGCGUGGAGGAUGAAGACCUUCGGGUCGUAAACUCCUUUCGAUCGAGACGAAUGGUUUUCGGGUGAAUAAUCCGGAGAAAUGACGGUACCGAGAGAAG
Molecule: ribosomal RNA, 405 nt
Filed under: uncultured bacterium
Lineage: Bacteria
Description: bacterial SSU rRNA
Rfam family: Bacterial small subunit ribosomal RNA
Source: RNAcentral